Molecule: unclassified non-coding RNA, 203 nt
Filed under: soil metagenome
Description: partial contains 5.8S ribosomal RNA, internal transcribed spacer 2, and large subunit ribosomal RNA
Source: RNAcentral
AACCUAGCACACCUGCGGUGUGUACCUGCGGAGGGAUCAUUACCUAGAGUUGUAGGCUUUGCCUGCUAUCUCUUACCCAUGUCUUUUGAGUACCUUACGUUUCCUCGGUGGGUUCGCCCGCCGGUUGGACAAAACUUAAACCCUUUGUAGUUGCAAUCAGCGUCUGAAAAAACUUAAUAGUUACAACUUUCAGCAACGGAUCU